AAGUCGUAACAAGGUCUCCGUUGGUGAACCAGCGGAGGGAUCAUUACCGAGUUUACAACUCCCAAACCCCUGUGAACAUACCUAUCGUUGCUUCGGCGGAUCCGCCCUGGCGCCUUCCGGCCCGGACUCAGGCGCCCGCCGGGGGACCCUAACUCUUGGAUUUCUUUAGUAUCUUCUGAGUAAACAAGCAAAUAAAUUAAAACUUUCAACAACGGAUCUCUUGGUUCUGGCAUCGAUGAAGAACGCAGCGAAAUGCGAUAAGUAAUGUGAAUUGCAGAAUUCCGUGAAUCAUCGAAUCUUUGAACGCACAUUGCGCCCGCCAGUAUUCUGGCGGGCAUGCCUGUUCGAGCGUCAUUUCAACCCUCAAGCCCCCGGGCUUGGUGUUGGGGCUCGGCCCGUCCCUAGCGGCGCGCCGUCCCCGAAAUCUAGUGGCGGUCACGCUGUACUCCUCUGCGUAGUAAUCUAACCUCGCAACGGGACAAAGCGCGGCCACGCCGUUAAAACCCCCAACUUCUGAAGGUUGACCUCGGAUCAGGUAGGAAUACCCGCUGAACUUAAGCAUAUCAAUAAGCGGAGGAAAAGAAACCAACAGGGAUUGCCCCAGUAACGGCGAGUGAAGCGGCAACAGCUCAAAUUUGAAAUCUGGCCCCCGGGUCCGAGUUGUAAUUUGUAGAGGAUGCUUUUGGUGAGGUACCUUCCGAGUUCCCUUGAACGGGACGCCAUAGAGGGUGAGAGCCCCGUCUGGUCGGAUACCGAUCCUCUGUAAAGCUCCUUCGACGAGUCGAGUAGUUUGGGAAUGCUGCUCUAAAUGGGAGGUAUAUGUCUUCUAAAGCUAAAUAUAGGCCAGAGACCGAUAGCGCACAAGUAGAGUGAUCGAAAGAUGAAAAGCACUUUGAAGAGAGGGUUAAACAGUACGUGAAAUUGUUGAAAGGGAAGCGCUUGUGACCAGGCUUGGGCCCGGUUAAUCAUCCAGCGUUCUCGCUGGUGCACUUGGCCGGCCCAGGCCAGCAUCAGUUCGGCGUGGGGGAUAAAGGCGGCGGGAAUGUGGCUCCUCCGGGAGUGUUAUAGCCCGCCGUGUAAUACCCUGUGCUGGACUGAGGUUCGCGCUUUCGCAAGGAUGCUGGCGUAAUGGUCAUUAGCGACC
RNAcentral lists this ribosomal RNA (1144 nucleotides) under uncultured Hypocreales. Its description in RNAcentral is "eukaryotic LSU rRNA". The stretch from base 522 to 1144 matches the Rfam family "Eukaryotic large subunit ribosomal RNA", at positions 1 to 649 of the family's 3401-position model. Lineage: Eukaryota; Fungi; Ascomycota; Sordariomycetes; Hypocreales. The record is from RNAcentral.